UCAACACUACUCUGGCUCUUCGGACAGCGACAGAUCCGGGCACUACGAAGCGCGUUUUUUAGGCAACGCCCCAAGGAGGGGCAAAUCAAGAAGAGGAGGACCAGGAGGGGCGGGAGGAAAUCAAGAAGGACGCAUCCAGACUCGUUCCCAGACGCACUGAAAUUGUCCACAGCGGGUUACCUUUGUGAAAUUCGAUCCACUAACCUCUUGGAUCCAGUAUGCUGCGUCCAUGUGA
This is a long non-coding RNA of Bufo bufo (common toad), 235 nucleotides long. RefSeq lists it as uncharacterized. The record is from RefSeq and is a predicted model, not a curated record. The transcript is spliced from 3 exons. Lineage: Eukaryota; Metazoa; Chordata; Amphibia; Anura; Bufonidae.